GGCCAAAACAGUGGAAAACCUACAUAAGAUGAUCAGAAGGAUAGUUCAGUACUCACAAGGAAAUUGAAUCUAUGAGUGAGGUUCACAGAGGAGAGGUUACAAAUAUAGGAAAAUCAGUGCUCUAUAAUGGCUAAAAUCACUCAAACCAUUCGCAAAUUUUUCUGUUACACUAACACAGAGUUUAUUCUUCAUUAGCACCAUUCGGACCAAUCAAGCAACAGACUGCAGGAAAAAUAUACUAAAUAAAGAUUACACUGAUGACCCCGAGGAUCAUCCAUACCUUAAAUUAACAAUAUUAUGCAAGUUUUUAUAUAACUUGUAUUCAAUUAUGGUUUUACAAUAUAUGCAUCAGCAUCAACAUAGUCAGAACAGCAGCAAAAGGAAGUUUACAGAUUACAAAAUCCCUUAGGGGAAAAAAAAAAGGAAGGGAAGACCAUCAUGAAAUUGGCAUAAUUGCUUUUAUUGUUAUUUGUAAUGCUAAAUUACUAGUAGUUGGUCUUCUUUUUUAUAGUCCCAAAACAGUUGGUAACUAUGACAUCCUCAUACAAAACAUAUUUUUUAAGUACAAAAGUAUAAAUAAAGACUUUCCUGGGGCCAUCUUCCGAUAAUUAUAAUAUAUAAUCCAUGGUUAUCAAACCCGGACCAGACCAACCAAGUACUCCGGUCAUUUCAAUGAAAAAAAAAAAAUUUC
RNAcentral lists this unclassified non-coding RNA (691 nucleotides) under Hevea brasiliensis (rubber tree). Lineage: Eukaryota; Viridiplantae; Streptophyta; Magnoliopsida; Malpighiales; Euphorbiaceae. The record is from RNAcentral.